This 449-nucleotide ribosomal RNA is filed under the name uncultured bacterium. RNAcentral's name for it is "bacterial SSU rRNA". It matches the Rfam family "Bacterial small subunit ribosomal RNA", at positions 330 to 793 of the family's 1533-position model. The record is from RNAcentral.
ACCAGACUCCUACGGGAGGCAGCAGUGGGGAAUAUUGGACAAUGGGGGGAACCCUGAUCCAGCGACGCCGCGUGAGUGAAGAAGUAUUUCGGUAUGUAAAGCUCUCUCAGCAGGGAAGAAAGAAAUGACGGUACCUGACUAAGAAGCCCCGGCUAACUACGUGCCAGCAGCCGCGGUAAUACGUAGGGGGCAAGCGUUAUCCGGAUUUACUGGGUGUAAAGGGAGCGUAGACGGCAUGGCAAGUCAGAUGUGAAAGCCCGGGGCUCAACCCCGGGACUGCAUUUGAAACUGUCAGGCUGGAGUGCAGGAGAGGUAAGUGGAAUUCCUAGUGUAGCGGUGAAAUGCGUAGAUAUUAGGAGGAACACCAGUGGCGAAGGCGGCUUACUGGACUGUAACUGACGUUGAGGCUCGAAAGCGUGGGGAGCAAACAGGAUUAGAUACCCUGGUAC